CUAGCCAGAGCAGAGUCAGUGCAUCUCCCGAAGAUGUCCCACAAGGCAGUGGAGGUUUAGCAUCAGUUUUCUUUCUCUUAGAUGGGCUACCUUCCCAGGUUGGUGAGCCCUACCUGUCCCUCACUUCCUUCUACAGCAUAUGCAGAAACUGCCUUCUUGACCAAUGGACCCACCAUUAUUCUCAUCCCCUCAGUCUACUGAGCCUGUCUUCACAUGCGGGGAAGGAUUUGAGACCCAUCGACUACCCUCACCUGGUUUAGCCAGCCAGUUGAAGCUGUUCCCAGUGUGUAGCCACUGUUACAUGCUGACAGCUUCUAGGAGCCACAAAUGAGAACUGAGUACAAGGUGGAGACCAAAGAUGGACAAACCACACCAGGAGCACAAUGUGUUCCCCACCAGAGAUACCACCCCUCCCCUAACACCCCACACAACUCCCACUAACACUCAACAAUUGAUCAUAGUGGCUAGGGCUGAUGGGAGCUAGAGUGCAACAGCAUCUGGAAGGCCACAGGUUUCCCACCCCUGUUCCUAGUCCAGUGCUAUCAACUCCCAACUGGCCAGGGUUUCAGGCAGGGGUCUCUUCCAGCCAUGCUACCGGAUAACCUUUUCUUUUUUGAAACUGCAGAUUUGAUCUGUGACCUUCUGAAUCCAGAACAUGUGCUCUGCUAGGCGAUGGCCUCUUUCCAUUUAUUUAUGAUCCCUUUAGGUUUAUUAACUGCAUUAGCAAUGUCCACAGCAAUGCUAAAUAUGGUCAAUGCAAAUAAGGGAUCUUUAUCUUGCUACUAUAGAGAAGACACAGAUGCCCAUGAGAAAUAACUUAACCAAAUGAUCAGAUCUUAGUAUUUCUAAUAAUUAGUAAUUCUUGCAAAGAUGAUGUGAAAUUAGUAUUAGUAUUACCCUCAUGUUAGUAUUACCAUAAUGUAUUGAAGAUGAUAUGGUUGAAAUGGUUCCUUGUCCCAGCUUACCGAGUAUGUUCCUGAGUGAUGUCAAUUUUGAUCUAGGAUUUCCUGGUUCAUAGCUCACUAGGCUGUACUGCAGUGUCACAUUUUAAACCUAGGAUUGGGUAGCUCUUAUUGAUCUCCAAGUCCUAUCAGCUCCAGCCAGCAUGGCCAACGAUUGGGGAUGAUGGGAGUACUAGUUCAGAAACAUCUGGAGGGACACAGGUUCUCCAUCUCUGUUUAAAAACUAAUACAGUUUUGAAGAUGAUAGAUAGAUAGAUGGAUAUAGAUAUAUGAUAGAUAAUUUGCUGUCAGUGCACAAGAAUGCUUCUCCAAGAGGUUUUGCACUCAUUCUAAAAAUUGUUGCGUUAUAAAUUUCCCAGACCAUCAUUUUAUUGCUCCAAAUAAACUGUAAGAUGCAAUCCUGGAUUGCGAGUGCAAAGGGCUCUUGAGAAAAACCCAAGCAGGGUUUCUUUGUAGAAGCAUCAUGCUGUUAUAUGUUGAUUGGGAGCACAGGGAUGAAUUUGAGCCAAGAUGCACUGAGCCUUUACUGCUGAACCUCUUGUUUCCUGUCUAAAUUUUUGAUCUGCUUCAUCUCUAAGGCUGCUACAACAUUUUUUUAAAAAAACCCAACAACAACCCUGUCAAGCUAAAAUAACCAGUUGUUGGUACAUUUUUAUUUCUUUUUUUCUGGUGCAUUUUUCAAAAAGUCUCAGCAUAAUCUACCUCACAGGAAUGUUGUGAGAAUAACAUGGCAUAACUGCAUGGCUUGAGCUCCUUGAAAGAGGGGCAGUGAUCAAUAAAACCUGGCUCCUGUUUAACUCAAGGCAUUAACCCAAGUCCAAACAAGAAAGCCUUACAGCUUUUCUAGAAAAGAUGUUCAGAUGCACGUUGGCGAACCUUCAAGAUAAAGGAAUUGCCCUGUCAUGGACCUGCUACUGGGAAUUCUCUGUUCAUGCCCUAGGAGCUCAAAGAUGGGGAACCUGUGCUUCUUCAUGGCUUGGACACAUAAACUGUUUUAAUUGUCAAAGCUCUGCACUGGAAGCAAUAAUUUGAGAGGUCUUCUGAUUAUGUGCAGAGUAAUUUUUCAGUGCCGCUGAAUAACUGUUAUAUGCCUCUUCCCUCUUCAACCACCUGCCUUCAGUGUCAAAGCAUACGCCACUAUUUAAGAGGGAAAGUGUUCCUGAUCUCACUGUGCUCCAAUAAAACUAGUAGAUAUGGAACUCCUCAGAGGAGCACUACCACCUUGAAGAGCAUGGGAGGGGUGAGCUGCGGGCAAAGCUGGACUCCCUUUAGGGCAGAAGGUACUUAAUGCAUAAAUAGUCUGAACGACUGUAAUUUUGCAUUUCCGCCUCAUUAGCCAGAUCAAUAUACAACAGUUACCCUUCACCUCAACUGCAUCGUUAGCCUAUCUGUAAUUUGCCUGCUAUUAAGUACUCUCUGGCUCUUGGCAUGCAGCAGUUGGGGGCAUGAGAGGGUGAUAGAGGCUAUAGUGGGCAGGCAAGGGAGGUGUGAUGCAGCUCAGACUAUGAUAAAAAAUACCAGUUCAACUCCCAGUUGCAACCUGAAGCCAAAGGAGAGAUGAUUAAACCAUGCAGAUGGACAGCUGGUCUCUUUCUAUGUUCUCUGCAGCACUUUGGACAGCACUACACAUUUCAUAUUCUGGUUCCAAACUACAGGCCUUGGGUGCUAGUCAAUGUUAGCUCCACUCAGAAUAGAUCCAUUAAAAUUAAUAUACAUGACUAAAUUUUGGUGUGUCUAUUCCUGAGUAGAGCUUUUUGAACACAACCCUUUGCAGGGUCACCCGUCCACAUCUUGUAUUUGCUGACCUAUUAUAUAAUUCCAGUGUAUGCCUAUCACUUUAAUCCUCUUAUGUAAGUUGUUUUGUAAAAUUGGCCUGCAAAGCUGUAUAUAAAUAUCGUAAAAAUGAAUACAAAAGGGUAAACUAUCACAGAAAACACUGGCCUCCCCCUCAAUCUAGUUGAUGAAAGCUUCACUUUAUAGUUGAUCAGUGUGAACAUGAGUGCACAUCCUUCCUGAGCAAAGCCUUGAAAGGUUUAGACUGACUGUUUUAGCAUGGCCUUGUAUCCAAGCCUGUACUGGAUUAUUGGAGGAUUGCACUGGGGAAGAUGCAUAAACAGAUUGGUGGUGAGAGAGAGAGGAGAGAGAGAGAGAGAAAGAGAGAGAGAGAGAGAGAGAGAGAGAGAGAUUGAGGGAUGGAUGGAUGGAUGCAACAGUUCCCGAAGUUCUGUGAUACGUUACUGUGACCAAGAAACUAAAUGGAGGAUAAGCAUAUGCAGAGAUAGGAGGCAGAAGCUUAUAUAACAGAAGCUUAUAUAAGCAGAUGUGAGAAAAGGUAUAAGCCCUGUGGGAUUGGGCCACUGGGUGCAGAGAACAAGCUUAACUAUCAUCCCAGUGACAUCUCCAAAUCAGUGUUUGAAACUCCCAUUGAGGACCUUUUUCUGCCUCAUCAAUUCUAACUACUCUCUGAAGACUGGAGAAGAGACCCUCUUAAGAAUAUUAGGGGGUCAUGCAGGGGAAGGACUAGACCGUGUGAAAAAUGAACAUAAUAUUUUAGCGGCAGUUCAUUCAUUUUCAGCUUUGUGUUCUUGCUAUUUAAAAAAGUGUGCUUAGACAUUCCAUUGUUGUGCCCAUAACCUAGGUUUAAGGUGCCAUUUAGCUACUAGUUUUCAUAUCUCAGUUUCUAACAUUGCUCCAAAUGUUUCCUCUUUAUAUUCUCCCACAUCAGUGCAUGGCAACCUUUCACUCCCGUUGGAGAAAAUGAAGCCCAGCAUUUUGGGGCUCUCUAGCAUUGAGGCCAAAUCUUGUCUGCCACCUUUGAUGCACAGUGGCCUGGCCCUCCCUGGCAGAGAUUCACAACAUGGUGCAAUGUAACUGUGUGUAAAACUCCCAGAAAUUAUUGCAACACACAAGCUCCCUCCCUCCACAUAUCCACAAGUAACUUUAUAAAUGAAUAACUAUGGGCCAAAGUUAAGCCCCUUUAAGCCUCAUGCAUUUAAAGAAGACACAUUUAAACUUGUGCUUUAAAUCACCAUUUCAAGUCAAUGGGAUUUAAAAGUGCUCUGUGACGUUUGUUGGGUUUUUCCCACAUUGCCUGUUGUCUGCCCUGCCUUGGUGUAAUCAAGGAGAUGUGGAGGGUGGCAUUUACACCUGUCCCCACUGGCCUGUGCGCCACACACUCUGAGCUCCACCCACCCCAUGCAUGAAAGAGUAGUUUUUCUACUUUCCAACUGUACAAUUCAAGAAGAACAAACCCAAUGGGGACAGCUGGUCCCCAGCAGGUUCGUGCUGAGGAGGAAAAUGUGCCCUGGGAGGAGUUGGCUUGGCAAGCUCUGAAUGCCCCCUGCACCACCCCAAUAUUUCCUGGCCUGCCUGCAAACACCACCUUUAUAAUUAGAAGCUCCUUGCCUGCUGGGCCCUCUGUAGAGAUCAAAUGCUUCCCUUCAGCGCCAACAUCCUACAGCCGCGUGUCUGCACGGAAUACAAAGCACCACUUAACAGUUGCGCCUCAUGCUCUGCAUGAAAAGCUCCUGGAAACAUGGCCUUUCUGCGGAGCUGAUAAUCAAGGGACUUGUUGCUUGGGGAAUGCAGAAAGCCUUGCGGUGUAGAAAGAAAAGAGCGGGCGAAACCAAUCAUACGGCAUCCUUUGUUGAAAUGCCUGGUUCAAAAAGGGGAGGGAAUUGAAAUGAGAACCAGUUCCUCAUGUGUUGGAGAGAGACUGUUCUGUAAUCACAUGGGGAUAGCGGGCUCCCAUCAGGGGGCCAUGCCUGGAUGCGGCACAGGCCCAUUGUAUGCUUAUGGGCAUUUCUGUCUGCCCUGUCACACUUCACAGAGGUUUCUGUGGGUGGUGGCUAAAUUUCUCCUCCUGGCUGCAAAAACACAAAAGGAAGUCUCCCCUGAUUAAACCUAUCCUGUCUGGCUGUUGUUACAAAUUUUAAUUUGUUUAUUUAUUCAUUUUAACCGACAUUUAGGUACCUUUCAUAUUGGAAGGUAUUGGGUUGCAUAGCAUAUUUUAGAUAUGUUUCAGAUAUUCCAGACAUCUCAAAUAUGUAUUACAGCCAUUUUAAAGUACUUUGUAUGUUCUGAUAUUUUUACCUGUAUGGUUAUUGUUUUAAUUUUGUUUGGGUCUUUGAAUACAUAAUAAGGAGAUUAAAUUGUCACUGUGAACAUCUUUCUUAUUACGCGAGUGUGAGACACACCUCUCUCCCUCCCCAGCACACACUCUUGGUCACUCUCAGCCUGGGGCAGCUCCCCUGUCCCAAUGCUGGGAUAACCCAUUGGCCUUUCCUCGUUGGCAUGAUUUAAAGAGAUUAAAUUGUCACUGUGAACAUUGGCACCAGUGCUGUUUCCAGGACUCUUGAACAGUUGAUUUUAGCGGGUUGCUCUCCCUGUGUGCACCCACUUCCUCUUUCUUGGCACUGUUGAUGCAGUCCGUUCAUUUGGCUCCCUUUCUCCCUCUCUAGGCCCAGUACAUACUGCUACUGCCCUAGGAGAGAGAUUGGACAAGGUAUGCAGUGGUUGGUGCUCUUCUCAUUACCUCCUCACUUGUCAACACCUAUUUAAAAUGCAUGGCUUCCUGCAAAGAAUCCUGGGAACUGUACUUUCCACCUUCACAAAGCUUCAGUUCCCAGUACCCUUAACAAGCUACCGUUCCCAGGAUUCUUUGCAGGAAGCCAUGCACUUUAAAUGGAGAUUUAGUCUGCUUUAAAUAGAUGGUGUGGAUCUGGAAGGCAUAGCAAGGAAGAGGAGCAGCACUAGGACUGAUAGUGGGCCCUUGACUGGGGUGUGGGCCUUGAACCCAAACCACUGGUGCAGAAUUUGGCAGCCAGUUGCUCACUGGGACAAAACGGUUUGAACAUAUUACACUGAUCCUGGCCAGGCUGCAAAGUUUCCAGGCCAAAUUCAAAGUGCUGGUUUUGACCUGUAAAGCCGUAAACGGCUCAGGACCUCAAUACCUCAAGGAUGGCCUCUCUCCAAAAAGUAAAUGUGCAUGAAAGGUCAGCUGAGCAUGUGCAGGGUACUGGGAACUGCCAGCCUUUAUGCAUAUCUGGGAUAAAUUAAGGAGAGCUUCUAGACUGGAGGGUGAACUUUGAACUAAUUACUGACAAUGAUAUUCCCCACUCCCAGCCCCUACUUUUUAACCCAGAAUACCAACCUCUCAAUACCGUACUGUCUUGUUGCUGCUCUGUUGCAUGAGGAAUGAGACUAUCUGACCCAGUGAGACCUCUCCUCGUGGUAAUGGACCAUCAAGUUAAUCACCAACAAGCAGUGUGGCCUGCAGAAAAGUGCCCC
Molecule: long non-coding RNA, 6251 nt
Filed under: Podarcis lilfordi (Lilford's wall lizard)
Lineage: Eukaryota; Metazoa; Chordata; Lepidosauria; Squamata; Lacertidae
Source: RNAcentral